AACGAACGCUGGCGGCAUGCCUAACACAUGCAAGUCGAACGAGACCUUCGGGUCUAGUGGCGCACGGGUGCGUAACGCGUGGGAACCUGCCCUUAGGUUCGGAAUAACUCCCCGAAAGGGGUGCUAAUACCGGAUAAUGUCUUCGGACCAAAGAUUUAUCGCCUUGGGAUGGGCCCGCGUUGGAUUAGCUAGUUGGUAGGGUAAAAGCCUACCAAGGCGACGAUCCAUAGCUGGUCUGAGAGGAUGAUCAGCCACACUGGGACUGAGACACGGCCCAGACUCCGACGGGAGGCAGCAGUGGGGAAUAUUGGACAAGGGGCGAAAGCCUGAUCCAGCAAUGCCGCGUGAGUGAUGAAGGCCUUAGGGUUGUAAAGCUCUUUUACCCGGGAUGAUAAUGACAGUACCGGGAGAAUAAGCACCGGCUAACUCCGUG
Molecule: ribosomal RNA, 433 nt
Filed under: uncultured bacterium
Lineage: Bacteria
Description: partial 16S ribosomal RNA
Rfam family: Bacterial small subunit ribosomal RNA
Source: RNAcentral